AAGCCAUGAUUUGGACACUUAUGCAACAUGGAUUUGUAGCGCUCCCAUGCUUCACAGAUUAUUUCUAUUGAAAUUUUUGUGAAUGCAGAAAUAACUGUCUUU
Molecule: small nucleolar RNA, 102 nt
Organism: Lathyrus oleraceus (garden pea)
Lineage: Eukaryota; Viridiplantae; Streptophyta; Magnoliopsida; Fabales; Fabaceae
Source: RefSeq, a predicted model, not a curated record